RNAcentral lists this ribosomal RNA (301 nucleotides) under uncultured bacterium. Its description in RNAcentral is "partial 16S ribosomal RNA". It matches the Rfam family "Bacterial small subunit ribosomal RNA", at positions 509 to 807 of the family's 1533-position model. The record is from RNAcentral.
CAGUAGCCACGGGAAUACAGAGGGUGCGAGCGUUAAUCGGAUUUACUGGGCAUAAAGCGUGCGUAGGCGGCUUCUUAAGUCGGAUGUGAAAUCCCUGAGCUUAACUUAGGAAUUGCAUUCGAUACUGGGAAGCUAGAGUAUGGGAGAGGAUGGUAGAAUUCCAGGUGUAGCGGUGAAAUGAGUAGAGAUCUGGAGGAAUACCGAUGGCGAAGGCAGCCAUCUGGCCUAAUACUGACGCUGAGGUACGAAAGCAUGGGGAGCAAACAGGAUUAGAUACCCCUGUAGUCCCUGUCUCUUAUAC